Molecule: long non-coding RNA, 16111 nt
Organism: Brassica rapa (field mustard)
Lineage: Eukaryota; Viridiplantae; Streptophyta; Magnoliopsida; Brassicales; Brassicaceae
Source: RefSeq, a predicted model, not a curated record
UUUAUAUAUUUUAUAAUAUAAAACUAUCUUUUAUUUUUUACUGAGAAAUGCUAAUUUUCUACAUAUAUUAUAUACAAAAAACCAUAUAUUAAAGAACAUUUAAAAAAUGUUUGCAAUUUUUAAAUAUUUUAAAUUUAUUUUAUGAUAAUAAGACUGAUUCGAUAAUAAGAAAUACGAUGUUUUGCAAAUGCUAUUCAGUUAAUGUCAGUCUCUAAUUAGUGAUAUCUAAACAUAAUCUAUUUUUAAAUAGUUAUUAAAUAAAUUUGAGAUAACAAACAAAAUAAAAAUCAUUUAUCAUUUUAAAUUAUUUAAAAUAUACAUUUAAGUAAAUAUAGAGUUAUUUAUUCUUUUAUUUCAUAAAAAAUCUCUAACGUAGUUAUUUAUAAAUAAAUGGAUGGAUAAAAUAAUAUAUUUACAAUGUUAAUAUUUUGAAGCCUAAUAUUUAUGUUUAGAAAAUAUAAAACGGUGACCGAAAGUCCAGGUACUCAAAAAAUUAUCAUUUUUAUGGAUCCACCUUUUUUUUGUCAAUUUUUAUGGGCCCACCUUUUUUAUUGUCAAUUUUUAUGGACCCACCUUUUUUAUGGACCCACCUUUUAUGGACCCACCUUUUUUUUGUCAAUUUUAUGGACCCACCUAGGUAAAGACUUUUCAUGGCUGGACUAAACUUUGUGGGGGCAGUGUUAACAAUUUUCUUUCCUUUCCCACAUGGCCACAUGUCCAUUGACACAUGCAACGUCUAUGUUGACAUAUCAGGGAAAAUUGCAUUUUAAGUUUUCAAAGUUAUCGUCCAUUAUGGGUAGGCAUAAAUCAAAUGUUUGAAUUUUAGAAGUAUACGGAAUUCGAUCUAGUUCAUUUGAAUAGUCAAUUAUCUAACAAAUUUUCUUCAUAACAAUUUAAAUAUUCUAUGCCCGGAUAUUUAAAAUUUUAAAUAACUUUUAACCGAUAUCCAAUUUUUUUUUUUUUGGUCAAACACCGAUAUCCAAUUUUAAAAAUAAUUUUUUAAAUAUAAAUCUAAAGAUAAUAUAAAAUAAUACUCCCUCUGUUUUUAUUUGUAGGUAGUUUAACAUAAAAGCACGCAGAUUAAGACUUCUUAACUUUCUAAAAAUCAGCAAUGAAAACACACAUUGCUUUAUCUAUAACACAUUUAUUUUGUCUGAAACAUUUAAUUAAAAAAGAGGCUAUUGCUAUUCUUAAGAAGAAUAAAAGGAUAAGAAAAAUUAAAAAAAGUGAACAAGAAUACCAAAAAUCACACAUUUGAGCUUUUAAGAAUUUUACAACAAAAAUCACACAUUUGAACAUUUUCUGUUUUGUUUUCUUUUUGAUUUUUGCUUCUUCUCGUUCCAUUAUUUUCUGAAGAGAAAAAUGGGUUGAAGAAAACAAAUCAAAAGAAACUCUGAUAGAAUAAGAAAACAGUUACGUUAGAUAUGUUAUUUAUAGUGAAUUUAGAAGACACAGUUUUUGGUAAUUAGUAAAUAUUAGUAGUUGCCUACCUAUUAAAUUUAAAAUUUAUUCAUUGUAAGUUGUGUUCAACUUUUUGGAAAAAGUAACCACUAUUUAGUUAAAUGUUUUUUAAUUAUAUUAUUUUAUUCCUUUGGAUUCUGUAACAUCUUAUAAUAUAAAACAAAUCUAUUUUGCUAAAACUACCUACAAAUAAAAACAGAGGGAGUAAUAAUCUAUGAUAAAAAUAAAAGUUAUUUAUUUUUAAAACUCUAAUAACUAAACUAACUAAUUUAAUAAAAAUAUUAUAUAAUAAUUAUAUUUUAUAUAAGAGUUGAGAGUAUUCUCCAAUCAGUUUACAACACCGUGGUUUUAUUGCAGGAUAUAAACGGAAAAUUCUAUUUCAACUCCAACAAUAUCACUCGCUCCAAAUGCGGUUCUAACUAAAAGUCAGUGCUAAAUAUAAUUUCAACUCAGUUAUAAUUUAAAAAAAUAAUUUGAACUUUUUAACGUGUAUAAAUCUACAUUGGAUAUAAUAGAAAUUAGUCAACCAACGAAGUCAUUUUGAAUUUUUUAUUUUAAAUAUGCUUAUUCCAUGAUUCAUACAUGUGCCUUGAUAUCCUUUUAAACAAAUACACUAAUCACUAGAAUAAAGUAAUUUUUUGAAAAUACUAUUACAAAUUUGAAAUUAUAUAUACUAUUGUACUUUUUCAUAGUCUCCAAUUAAAACUUAGGUGAUAAUUGUUUCUGAUUUAUAUAAUAUUAACAUAUUUCCUAAUUAUUAUCUUUAAUAAACUUAAAUUAUAUUAAAAUAUACUCAUAAGAUAUUCAUAAAUUAUUAAAAAAAUAUAUACUUAAAAUUUUGAACUAUUUUUAAAAUUUUCUUAUAUCAAUUAUUUAAAAAUGUAAAACUUGAAUGGUAAUUUUUUCUUUUUCAAAAUUAAUUUAAUUUACUACAUAUUUUAUUUUUUCAUAUAUUUUAGUUAUUGUUUAAUAUGCCUAAUAUUUUGAACAAAAUAUCUUAGUGAAAGAAAUGUAAUAUGCCUAUUAACACAAUAACGUUUUGAAAAAAUAUCAAAAUAUAUAAUAUUAAUUUUUAGAAAUAAAAAAUUGUCAUUUUAAUUUUAAAAAUUAAAUUAAUUCAUAUAAGAAAUUUAUAACUAUUUUCAAAAAUUUAAGUGCAUUUAAAAUUUGAAAAAUAUCAAUAUUUUAUUAUUUAUAUUUGAGUAUAUUAUAAGUUUAUUAAAGAUAUGAUAAUUAAAAACAUGCUAAUGUGUUUAUAUAAAUCAGAAAUGGUCUUUACUAAAGUUUUAAUUGGAGAAGAUAAAGAGUAUAGAAAUAUUUUGAACAAAAAAAAAGAGUAUAGCAAUAUAUAUAAUUUAAAUUUGUAAUUAUAUUUUGAUAUGUUACUUUAGUCUAGUGGUUAGUAUAUCUCUUUUAAAAGGUAUUAUGGCACGGGUUCAAGCUCCAGAAUAAAUAUAUUUUAUUAAUAUUAGAAUAACUUCUGUUAUAAUCAAGUCAAAGACGUUAAUAUGAAAAUCAGAUUCAACAUGAAUCACAGCUCUAAAAAUCCGAGUGCAACAUCUUUUACGGUAACUGAAAGGCCAUCGAUCCUCCAAACAGAUUUUUGGCGAAGACAUAUGUAAAAGAGACUAGGCCUCCGAUAAGCAGGCGAGCCAGACAGAGCCGUGCUUAGAGCUUUUUAAAAAAGGCAUUCGCCUAGGGCCCCCAAAUUUUGUAGAAAUUUUAGGGCCUCAAAUUAUAAAAAAAAAUACUUUUACAUGGUAGUUAACAUAUUCUAUUAAUUACAUUUUUAUUUUUAUUUGAAUUUAAAUUGAACUUCUGUUUAAAGUAACUAGGUUUGUAAUCAUUUUUGCUAUAUUUUAAAUAAAAUUAUAAAGAUUCUACUUCUAAAAAACUGUAAAUAUUUGAUCACAUUGUUCUUUUUUUUAUAUGCUAUGAGUUAGAUUUAUUUUAUAUAUUUAUGAGAAUUUGAUAAAGAAAAUAUAAUAUUUUCAAUAUAUAGUUUAUUAUAGUUAAUUUAAAUGCUAAGAUUUACAUUUUUGACAGCUACCAACAUUUCAAUCAAAAAUUUAUAUCUUUGUAUUUAUAUUACAAAUUCAUACUUUUUGUUCAUGAUUAAAAAUUUUAUUUUAUAAAAUUUUGGUGAAGAAAAUUUAGAAAACGUUUAUGUAAUAACUCAAAACUUUUGAGUGUUAUAUAUAUAUAUAUAUAUAUAUUAUUAAAAAUAUAUCAUGUAAAAUAUAUUUUUGAACUCGCCUCGGGCCUCCGAAAACCUUCGCACGGCACUGGAGCCAGAGCAACGAAAUGAGGCGAGUUUGAAUUUUCUUUUCAGGUGAGAAGUGAGAGAGAACAAGACUGACUACUGUUCAUCUGGUUUGGGCGGCGAGCCGUACAAAUACUUUAAAGAUGUACAUAAUAAUUAAAUUAAAUUAAAUUAAACUAAAAAAAAAACUGUAAACAAUAUAUUAUAUUAGUGCAAAGAUAACACCACAAUAAAUUAAUACAAAAUAUAAAUCAAAGAGACAAUAUAGAUAUAAGCAACCAACUAUGCUUUAUUAAAAAUCGUCUAAACAAUUUCUUACAAAACUUGCUUGUCAGUUUCACACCCUAUUAACACCCUAACAGCUGCUACUGAAAUAUUUUUAAUCUACCCAAACUUGUCUAUUUGUCAUCAUUACUUCAUCAACUGCUUCAGUACGACCCAAGAACACCCCUAAGAGAUUUUCACUAUUCUUCUAUAAUAAUAGCCAGUGUCUCAUGGAAUACACACGAUUCCAUAGCUCUUUUAUAUUGAUUUCCAUGUUUGUGAAACCCUAGCCUCCAUGGAACAUGGAUAUAGACAGCUUUCACAUCAAUAAGUACACUUUUCUUUUCUUGAAAUGCACUUAUUCUUCAAGGCAUAAACUUAUUCCCCAAAUUUACCUUUUGCCUUUUCUCCACGGUAUAAACUUGCUCCUCAAGUUUAUCCCACGCUAGCUCAGCAUCUUGCGUCCACAUGGUCUCUACCACUUCGCAUGCCUCUUGGUUCCUCAGCAACUGUUUCAACGACUACGUCAAGACAUAAACCCUCAGUUUAUCCUUCUCCAUCUCACCAUAUCGUGCAUCCACAUGGUAACCCAUCACUCUUCAUGCCUUAUGUAGUAACGACUAAUGCAUCCAACAUCAAUGACUUCGCCGCCUAAUUAAUCACAGAAGACUAUUGACAUCUACAAGUUCCACUUGCAUCUUCAAUCUCCCCCUUUUAGCUUUGUGUGCCGAUCAAGCACAAUAUCCUUCUGGUUCAACAACCACGUUUCUUAACCUCGAAACUUCCACACUUGAUAUGCCAUUCUCCCCCACGAGAGUUGCACUAUCUUCACCACUCCUUAUCUUGGCUCCUUAGGCUUGAGCUUCUUCCCUUCUGCUGUAAAUAUGGUAGGCUCCUCCCACCUACUCUUCACAGCUAUCCAUGCAGCAUCAUUGACUCCUCAAACCAACAACUUCAUGUGUACCUUCCAAUGACCAUAUCGACCAUCCUUCAACAUGAUUGUCUUCUGCAUAGAACAAUCAUGUACAUCUUCACCUUCAGGAUCACACCAGUAACUUAGGUGACCUGCUCUGAUACCACUUAUUAGUUCAAAGAUGACACCAUAAUAAGGUAAUGCAGAAGAUAAAUCAAAAAUAAAAUAUAGAUACAAGCAACCAACUAUGCUUUAUUAAACAAUCUAUUACAAGACUUACUUAUUAGCUUUACACACCCUGUUAACACCCUAACAACUGCUACUGAAAGAUUUCUAAUCUACCCAAACUUGUCUCUCUGUCGUCAGUACUUCAGCAUGACCAAAGAACACCCCUAAGGGAUUUUAACCCUUCCUCUAUAAUAAUAGCCAGUGUCUCAUGGAAUACACACAACUCCAUAGCUAUUUUAUAGUGAUCUCCACGUUCCUGAAACCCAUAUCAAUAAGUACACUUUCUUUUUCUUGAAAUGCACUUAUUUCUCAAGGCAUAAACUUACUCCCCAAGUUUAUCUCUUGCCUUUUCUUCACGGUAUAAACUUGCUCCUCAAGUUUAUCCCACGCCAGCUCAGCAUCUUGCGUCCACAUGGUCUCUACCACUUUGCAUGCCUCCUGGUUCACUCUCUGACACACACUGCCUCAGCAACUACUUCAACGACUACGUCAAGACAUAAACCCUCAGUUUAUCUUUUUUCAUCUCAGCAUAUCGUGCAUCCACAUGGUAAUCCACUACUCUGCAUGCCUUAUGUAGUAACAAUUAAUGCAUCCAACAUCAGUGACUUCGUCGCUUAGUUAGUCAUGAAAGACUAUUGACAUCUACAAGCUCCACUUGCAUCUUAUAUUAUAGGGAAAUCUUUCAAAUAAAUCUAAAAAUGUUUUAUGACCAAAAACAUACAAAGAGAAAAAUGACAAAAGUAAGUUUCAUUAAAGAGAUAAAAAAACAUUUGUGUCUCUACUAUAUAUAUAUAGAAAUCAAUAUUAAAUAAUAAAAAUAGAUUUUUAUUUUGAAAAAAAUAAAACUUUUUUUUUUAAAUGUUUCUGAUAUUUCUUUCAAAAUUCAUUUUAGGCUUUUUCAAAACUCUUAUUUUUCCAAAAAUAUAUUUAAAAUUAUUACAUUAAUUUUAUACCUUAAAUUUUAAAUUCUAAACCAUAAUCUCCAAACCCUAAAGCCACCUCCUUCAAAUCUAAACCAAAUACAGAUUAGUUAACCUAAGAUAAAAAUAUAUCUUGCCUUCUCUCGUGACAACGACUUUUAUAUUUUCUGAUUAACAACUUGUAAUAUAGAAAAUAUUAUAGGAUAUCAAUACAUUUAGUUUUUUUUUUUUGAAAAUAUAAAGUUUUAACUAAUACAUCAUUUUUAAUUAAUCACAUAAGCAUUGUAAAGAUAUAAGGUGUUGACAACUCAUCAAGAUUAAAUUGUAAUUAAUACCAAAUAGAAGGUUAUAUAUUUUAAAAUGAUUCUCAAAUAAUAUAUAGUGAGUUAGGUGAUUCUUCUAUGCUCACACACACAUAUAAACAUUUAAAAAUAAUAAAAUUAUAAUUAGUUAAUUUUUCAUUUUCACUUUUUGAUAAUUUCUGAAUAGUUUCAUAAUCUAUAUGUAUAAAAAGUAAAAAUAAACAUUGUGUUAAAUUAUUAUGUUGGCGUCGCAGUUAAAUAUGUAAUUAUAUGUAUAACCAUUCAAAUCAGUUCAAUUUUUUUGGUAUAUUGGGUUGUAUCUAUUUUCAACUGAAAUGUUGUUUAUUUUGGUUUUAAAUAUUUUAAUAUUUUAAUUAUAUUUAGUUCUGUUCAUCAUGAUGUUUAUAAAUAUAUUAACAAUCUAAUAAUAUAUGUUGUUUUGGAAAGAUUUAAAAAAAAAAAAAACUAACUGUUAAUGUAAUUAGAGUUGCAUUAACCAAUAUAAUUAGUGGUAUUCUAAAACCACAUGCAUAUUUAAAUAUUCAUAAAAUAACUUAAUGGUAAUCUAACAAUAUUAAAAGGAAUAUAUGCUCAACAGAGAAGCAUGCCACGUCGACAAAUUAAUUCAGACCAAUCAAAUUGUUUUAAUGUGCCAUGUCACUUAAACAAAAAAAAAAAUCUAACCGAAGAAUGGCUUCCUUCCUCUCUUUUCGUUGUCUUUCCAGUUUUUCUCCAUCCCACUUCUUAGCUGUUCCAAGUUUUUAUUCCAUUAACUUCAUCCAUUAUUGCCUUCUUCAAAACAGAAAUCAUAGAUUUUUCUUCGACUUCCCGUUUUCCCUCUAUAAAACAGAUGCAAAAUGAAAUAAUAUCUAAGAAACUAUGCGUACCACCGAGAAUUACAGCAAAACAAACAGGCACAUCAGCUGAUGACAAUGAAAUUGGAGUUGAGAUCGCCAUGAGGGUGAUUAGAUUCGCCAAGGGCUAGGUCCGUUCUCCUUUCUGAGCUUUCUCACACACCCUCUUUCCUAGCUUUUACAUCUGUCUUGAUUCCGAUUUGACACCAAAAUUUCGAUAUCUACGAGGAGAGUGCGUAAAGUUUAAAACUUUAUGCAAUUCUAGAUUCGUUAAUGUAGUAAACAAUGAUGAGAUCUGCGUGUUGGUGAUUCUAAAUAGAUAUUCUCGAGGGCCGAGUUCGAUUAGGGUAAAGUAGCUAACUUUUCAAAUUUGUCUUUGAUUCAACUUUGUCUUUGAUUCGAGUCUUCAACAUUGAAAGAGGAACACUUUUACUAUAGUUGUAGUCUGCAUUGCUGGUGUCUAUUCGUUUAACUAAGACUCUGGAUCUGAUCAUUUUUCUGUUUUGAUUCACAGUUUCCCCUUUUGAACUCUUCCCAAAAUUGCAACGGGACAACUGUUCUCUCGGACCAUACAAGCUUUGUUCUACAACUAUAAUCAGCUUCCUGUUCAACGAAUGCUUGACUUUGACUUCCUAUGUGGUAAACAUUUAACAAACUACACUGUCCUAUGUUGGUUUCGUUUUGAUCAGUUUUAGAUUUUGACUUCAAAGCUUUAUACAUGACGUUAAACGCCUUCUCUUGCUGGAAUAAUUGUUUAAAGCAUCAAACUUGAAGGUUGGAUUUUGUGGUUACCAUUCCUAGCUUUCUUAAGCUUCACGCAGCAGUGUAGAGGAGAUUCAGAGCCGUAAGAACUGCUAGACAGACUGUGCGAGAGCUGUUCUUGCUGUUGGUGCAGCUUCAAGAUCUGAAGCACUGAAGGAAGAAGUAUUAGCAACGAGCCUUCUCGAACUGAAUGGCUUCUUCACCACUUACUUUCCUUCAGAGGCCACUAGAUCUAUUGUAUUUUUUUUGUAGCAACGAGAAUCUAUAUCCUAUAAAUAAAGAUGACGAACUCCCCAAAUCUCUCCGCUUCAUCCAAUCCAUUCUUAUCUCUUCCUUUCAAAUCUUGGAACUUUGAGGACAUGUGGAGAUUCCCUCUUACGUGGAGUUUAUGCAACCAAAUUGCAGUAACAUUGCAUCCUCAUCUUAACUGCAGAAGAUUUGACCGAACUAUCUUCAACCUCCCUCAUUCCGGCUUCCUAGGCAAAGAUAAUGAUUCAGGUCUUACAAAGUAAGUGAGCAUUACUGGUGCUGUUGCUCUUCUCGCAUAUGAUUUUUGUACACUAGAAAAAUUAAGUUUCUGCAGUGUAUUUAAAACUAAAUAAGCUCAAACGAAUGUCUUGCAUUAUUUUUUUCUUUACACUAUCACUUAAAAACACAUUUAGAUUGGGGAAAUUUUUUUUUUUUAUGAAAUUUCAAAUUUAUUCAUCCUUCAUGGGAAAAUCAUUUACAAAAGAUUGGGAAAAUUUUUCAAACGACUGAAGUUAUAAGUUUACUGAUUUCAAAGAAUUAUACGGAGUUGCAUUUAUCAAAAGAUAACAAUAUGUAAUAUACAUAGUACAAAUCCAAAUGAUCUAAAAGUUUCAAGGGGUUGACAGUUACCCAAUAACAACUUCCCAUUGUGGACAAAUGGAUACAGCAUCAGAAGAUAUGGAAUAUAUGAAAUAGAAUUUUUCAGACCAUACAUUCAAAUGUUGAUUUAAAAAAAAAUGAAACCAAAAUCUGCAAAAUAUAUUAUGUAAAAACCUAAGUCAUAAUGUGAAAGUGAACUUACCACUAAUCAUGAAAUAAAAACAUAAAAUACAAAUAUAUUUGAAUUAAGCGAGACACAAAUAAAAAAAUAGAAUGAGAAUUAACAUGUCACUAUACUAAACAUCAAUAGUAAGGUCUACAGUCCCCAAAAUCUUGUGUACUCUCAAAACCUUACAACUUUGUUUAUAAUCGUCGGUCUACUAAUUUGACAUCCAAUCAAUGAAUUGGUCUGACCGCACAUUGCCUUACUCCUACUAGCUUCCAGCGAUCUAACAUUGUUGAAGUCGUAACGGUAAACUUAAAUUACAUUAAUUUUGUAAAUUUGGCUUCGUAACGCAAUCCUCAUUUAGUUGAUGUUACUGAUAUUCUCUUUAACAUUCUAAAAACCAAUCUUUCUACUAUGAAAAAAAAAUUAAACUAACUGAUUAUUAUAAUAAUUAAAAAACAUACAUUACUUUUAGUUUAACUUUUCAAUGGAUAAAUGUCAACCGUAGUAGAUGAUUAUGAUUUGUUUGUAUUAACAACAUGAACACAUCACUAUGGAAAUGAAAUAACUAAAAAAAUCAUUGUGAAAAAUGUUUAUAACAAUAAAUUUAUUACAAAUCACACCAAUACAAAUGCAAAAUUAAAACACUAUAUUUUACACCAAAUGCUAAAAUAUUUUACAAAAAAUAAUUAGUAAAACACUAAAAAUUAAAGAAAUUCAUUAUAAAUGGAAAAUCUAAUAUAAACUGAGACACACAUAUAUUCUACACCACGUUUUUUGUUAUAUAAUAUAUACUAAUUAUUAAUUAUGACAUUACUGAAUCUAUUUCUAUAUUACUUUAAAAUAUAAAAUUUUAUAAUUGUAUCACAUUACAUUUGUUUUUCAAAUGAUUUAGUUUGGAAGUGGGUAUAUUAAUUUAUUAUCGUGAAAAAUAGUUAUUAUAAUAAUAUUAAAAUCUGAUAUUUUUAGAAUAAAAAAUAGUAGUUAUUCUUAUUUUAGAUUUUUUAAACUAUAUUAAAUUGAAAUAGAAAUCAAAUAUUAAAAUAUUAAUUUUUAAUUUAAUAAUUUUGUGUUUUCUAUUAAAAAUAUUGUUAGUAGUUUUUUCAACUUAAACCAACAAAAUUUAAUUAAAUUUAUAAUAUAAUUUUAGAAUAAAAUAGAUUAUAUUUAUUAAUUUCAGUAUAAAGUAAAAUUUUAAAUAUUUUAUAAAACUAAAAUAUAAUUUAGUAUAAAAUAGUUUCAGUGUAAACCCACCCGCCCGUAGGGCGGGCCAACCUCUAGUCAUUAAUUAAUGUUUCGCUUACGUUUGUUUAGAAAACUCAAAAUGGUUUAUCUAUGUUUGAAAAUAAAAUAGAAACUUUUUUAAAUUAUAUUGUUGUUGUAGUUUGACAUGUAAUUUUCGAUAUAAGAUUUCUGACCAGUUUGAUUAUUAAGUUUUAAGCAUAUUAAACUAUUGUUUUCGUAGUUCUAGUUAGGUUAAAAUGUUAAAUUUAGUCUUUUUAUUUAGUUUGGUUCUUCUUACAUUUGUAAGUAUAUCUUUUAAAAUCUAUAUAAUUUGAUAUUUUUAUUUUUAGACUAAAAUUAGAAUAGAAAAUAUGAAGGAUUUUUAAAAAUUAUUGAUUCACCCAGUUUAAAUUAAACAAAUAUCAACUUUUAUUUAAAAAUAAAAUAGUAAAUAUUUUUAAUCAGAAAAUAUUAGGUAAAAUAUCCAUAGUUAUUAAAAUUAAAUUUAUAUAAAAUAAAUAAUAUAUUUGUUUUUAUAUAUUAUUAUUUUCAAAUCUAAUAAUUUAUACGUCACACUAAUUCUUAUUAAUAAAGUAUACAUAUAUUCCUAAAUUUUUGUUUUGGAGAAAAAAUCCCAAAUAGCUUUACAGAAAUUUAUAGAUAUUUUUAUUUUUUAUAAUUGAAAAAUAAAAUAAAAAUUAUUAACAAAUUAAUUAAAAUACAAAUAUUGAUAGUUACAUAUAAAUUUAAUUUAUUAAGAGUAUCAAUUUAAUUGACUAUAAUGAGUGCAACACGUAAGAAACUGACUUAUCAAAUAAUAUUAUAGAAAUAAAGAUAUUUGAAUUCCAUAACAAUCAUACCCUAAAUUAUUUGGAACUGAAACUGACUUAUCAAAUAAUAUUAUAGAAAUAGAGAUAUUUGAAUUCCAUAACAAUCAUACCCUGAAUUAUUUGGAACUGAAUCAUAUCUGAAAUAAAUUGAUUUGGAUUAAAAUAAAAUUUCAAAUAAAUAAACGUGAUAUUAACUGUUCAUUUUUGUUUGUUUAAUAACACCACCACCUUAAUUGGAAAAAUAUACAGAAGUAUAAAACAUAGGACCCUCUAAGACAUGUUUUAAAUUUCAAAUCUGUAACAUUAUACAGUUAUUCUCCGUUAUGUCUUACGUAAAAAAUGACUGUGAAACUUUUUAUUAUACUAUUGAUCAAAUAGAGAACAUUACAAAUUGUUUUAUUUAAUAAUUUAUAAUUAUUUAGUAAUUUAUGAUUAAAUUCGUGCUUUUAGUUAUCACUUAUGGUGGUGAAAUCUUUUAUUAAUCAAUUUUAUAGAGAGAGAAUACCUCUCUGCCUUUUCACUCUUUCCUAUCUUUCAGAGGAAAAAGGAUCGUGUUUUUUUUGCUGUGUCUUUCGAUCGUAUAGCUUCUCCAAAAAGAUUUUCUAUUUUAAAGUUUUUGAAAUAUUUUAUUUGAAAUUUUCAAAUGUUUUUCUCCAAAAACAAAACUUCAAAUCCAACUUCAAAAUUAUUUGUAUCUUACACUAUAAUUUUUAUAUUUAUCAUAAUUAAUAUAAAUUCAUAAUUCUUUUAAUAAAUAACUAGCACAUAUAUAAGACUAUUACAGCAAUAUUAACUAAUACAAUUUAAACUAAAAUAUAAAAUUUUAAAUAGAAAUACAUAAUUAAAUAUUAAAUCAAAAACAAAAUACCACAUUAUUUCAUAAAUUAUUUUUAAUGCUCCAUUUUUGGUUGCAGAAAAUCUUUUUGAACAAUUAUUAGGUUCCACAGAAAAUUUACAAGAGUAUUUAUUUUAUUGUGAUAUUUAAAUUUGUGUAAUAACUAUAUUUUCAUAUAUUUUUAAAUUUUUUUUAUUAAGUUUUUUUUUUGUAAUAUUUUUGUUGUUUAAUUCUAGUUUUAAAAUUUUUAUUUAUGUUUAUGUGUAAAAUUUGAAUUAAAAAAAAACAAAUUUGAAAUAUUUAUGAGAUAUGAAAAAUUUAAAAAUUAAAACAAUAAGUGAAAAUAGUUAAAAAUCAUAAAUAUGAUGAAAGUUAUCUGGAAGAUAUCACGCUGUUACGAAGAAGUUUUCUCAACUCAGACAUCGUUCAUGUACCUCGGACGAGAUCUUACGGGCGGAUAGCUUAGCACGCAGUGGUAGAAAACAACCGUCUUUCGUCGUUCACAUGGAUGCAGAGUUAAUAUGAAUCUGUGAAUAUCUUGUUGUCAGAAAAAAAGAUGUAUAAUUAAUUGUAAGAAUCAAAAUGCAAAUAAAAAAAAAUGAAAUUUCAUAUUUGAAAUUUUGAGUGGUAAAAUUUUAAACCCAAAUUUAAUGUUUUGAAAUUCAUUUUUGGAGAGUAAAAAAUUGUAUAUUUGAAGUUAUAGAGUUUCUUUUAAAGAUGCUCUUAGGAUCGAGUCUUUCGUUCGCCAUGUCGGGCUAUGUCGGAUUUGGUCUUAGCUGUGGCAAUUUUAUAGUGAAUUUCAAUCUCCAACGAAUCAAAUCUUCAUGUUCUACUUUCUUUAGUUUGGGAUUGAGCUUGUCUUGUGGGAAUGCUGUUAAAAGGUGAGGUCAUGGGUUCGAGGCUCACCAACAACCUAAUUAUGAAGUUAGAAAGAACUCGGGUUGUCAUAUAAAAAGUCGACUUUUUUUGGAAUGGAUUCAGAAGAGUCGGCAUUAUUAUAAGGGUCCGACAAAGGAUCUAGUUCCGGCUUGACUUAAACUUCCUCUGUUAUAAACUCCGGUGGAACAGGGCCUCUCCGCUUAAGUGGUCACGGCUAAAAUGAAAGGUGGUUCGAGGGAAAAGCUUUGCCGGUGGGUUACUUCUUCACAGGGGCGGAUGCAUAGAAACUUACGGGGACACGUGUCCCCAUCUCUUUUUUAUUUUACUUCACUAAUUUGCAUUAAAGGGCCGUUCGUUUUAACAUCUUUCAUCUCCAUCCAGAUGAUCCAUUAAGAUUUUUGUGAUAGUUUGUUUGUUCAUCCAAAUAGUUCAUCUAGAUGAAUCAUCUAAAUAUAUCUUAUGUUUUUUUCUUUAUUUUUAUUUUCAUGCUAAUGAGUUUAGUAAACAAAUUACCAGAAUACCUUUUGUGUUUAUUUAAUCAUAUGUUAAAAUUUCACUACAAUAUUAACUUCUAAUAAACAAAAAAAAUUGAUAAACAUGUAUUUGAAAAAAAAAAUUUAGAGUUUCAAACUAGAAAGAGUAUUAAUAAUAAACUCACUAUAACUUCGGUUUUGGCGAAAAACGAGAUUUUUCGGUUUUGACGGGAAAACGAGAUUUUUUUUAUUUUGACAGGAAAACGAGAUUUUUCGAUAUUGACACGAAAAUACAACUUUUGGUUUUGGCGAGAAAAUGCGUUUUUAGCGGGAAAAUACGUUUUUGGCAGAAAACAUAUUUUUUUUUGCAGUUUUGACAGGAAAAUACAAUUUUUGGUUUUGGCGAGAAAAAACGUUUUUGCGCUUUUGGGCAGAAAAAUAUGUUUUUGGCAGGAAAAUACGCUUUUGGCGAGAAUACGUUUUCGCGGAAAAAAUGCGUUUUGGCAGGAAAAUAUGUUUUUUUUAUGGUUUUCACGAGAAAUCGCGUUUAACAGUUUUGGCGGAUAAUGCAUUUUGAUGAGAAAAUGCAUUUUUCGGUUUUGACGGAAAAACACGUUCUGGCAGGAAAACACGUUGUCGCAAAAAAAAAAACAGGAAAACACGUUUAUGGUUUAAGCGGGAAUAAUAGACAUUAUACCAUAUUGAUUGAAUCAUCUCCAUCCAAAUUAGUUCAGUUGAAUAGACUUUAAAAUUAAAGUCUAAAUUUUCAAAAGUCAUCCAAAUUAAUGUCUAAACGAACAAAACUUUCAUCUCUAUCCAAAUGGUUGAUCCAUAUGGAGAAACGAACAAGUCCUAAAUUGUAUAAUGUACAAAUUCAAAAAUUAAACAUGAUAAAAAAAAAUAGCAUAUGCCUCUGUCUCAAUACUGUUCUACGUCCGCCCCUGCUUCUUCAUUGCCGGAGAAGAGGAAACGUGUGUCUUGCCCAAAAUACAGUUGAAAGCCACGUAGCAAAGAAGGGAUGAAUGCCUCACAUGUGUUUGUCUGAACUGAUUUUCUGUAUCUUUAGUUGGUUUACGUGUUGGGUUUGUAUGCUUAAAUUUGUCUCUCUUUUUUUUAUUACACUUCAUCUUAUUAAUUAAACCGAAAGAACAUAAUCGUUGCGAAAUACAUCAGCAAUAAACAUUGGUACAUAAUUAUGGAAUAAGAACGACUUAGAAUCUUGUAUUCUUUCUUUCGCCAGCUUAUCUGCAACUCGAUUUGAUGUACGAUUAAUCCAUCGAAAUUGUACUUCUUCCAAACGAGCCUGCCACCAUAAAAUUUCCCGUUUCCAGUUAUACAUAUCAAAGUGCAGCUUCCUAUUAUUUAAUAUCUCAAGUUCUCAACAGCCUUUUCACAAUCACUUUCGACAAUGACUUUCUUGUGACCGCUGCUCCAAACAUGUUGUAAAGCCAUUAGUAUAGCCUGCUGCUAUUCGCAUUCCAACGCAUUCUUCACUUGUUUUCUAGUAGCUUGAACAGCACCUUUGUAAACACCCCAGUUGUCUCGAAUGACCCACCCGACUUGUCCUGGAAUUGCAUCAUUUAAAAAAGACUCAUCCACAUUAUAUUUGAGCCACUCAACAGGGGGUCUACUCCAUGGUUUUUGCCUCAAAUUAUUGACAUUUCUGUGGGAAACAUUUUGCUGAACAACUAUGUUCCUAGUAUCAUUCCACCAUUCUUUUGCAUCAUCAUAAGCCUGUUGAAAGUUGAUCUCCAAUGAAUUCCUUUGUUCUGAAAAAUGAGCAUGUUUCGACUUUUCCAAAUCCUUCAUAGUAUCUAGAUUGGUAAGUCAUGUAGAUGUUGGAGCCGAGAAGAAUUACUACACCUGAUACAUUCCUCUAUCUUCUCUUCUAUUAUUAGCUCAAAAGGCUUAAUGAAUCAAAAGUUGACAAAAGAAAUAUAUUUUAAUUUAUAUUUUACUAUGUUAAGAUUAUAUUAGGUGGCCGGUCCGUACCCUGUGCGGACAUAAAAAAUAUAGAUAAAGAUGAUAACAUAAAAAAAAAAAAAUCCUAGAGAAGAGAUUUUUCUCCAACGCUUUUAUUUUAUCAAAUCCCAAAUCUUUCAAUGUUUUGUUUUUGUUGUAAUAUAUGUUCGAUCUUUGAUCGAUUCCACUUUGGUUGCCGAAUUUUGUUUUUUUCGCUUUGGAGACUUUUGUUUUGUUCUCAAUCUUAACGAAGCGGUUCUUCUAUCUUUGAUUGAGACUGCAAUAACCUGUCAUUCAUCUGACCCUAAUCCAGUAGUCCAAUGAGCAGAUACUUUCUUUUGCCGCUCACCUUAAUUCCUGUCUAGGAGAAUAAAUUAUUUAUUUGCUAGUUUAACCUAUUUAAGUGUAAGAAAAGCAUUUCUGAUGGGAGUCGAUUAGGUUUGAUAGAUUUUCUGAAGUUGUUUUGGAGUGGAUCAAGAAGAGUUGGCAUUUUUAAACGGUCCAACAUAAGGUAUAUCUUCAAUCCGGCUCAAGUUUCCUCUGUUCUAAAUCUCCGGCAAAAUAAGGUCUCUCUGGUCAAGUGGUCAACGGCUGAGAUGGAAGGAAAUUCCAAAGAGUACAAGGCUUGGUUAAGAAAUAGGAUCCAAUACUGGAUAGAGAAGAGGUGAUUAAUUCAUGGCGGAUCUCGGCCGAGCAUCCUUCCGAUGGCAAAAGAUAGUGGUGAAGACUUUUGAUUCGCAGGGACGGACUGUAGACGAGUAGAGCUGACUCUUCUUUUCUAUGGUUAUUUUUUAAGGUAUGAUUAAUUGUGCUAUUACAAUGUGUAAUAUAUGAUUUACCGCUAAGCAAUAAUUAUACCAUUUUAUGAGAAUACAUGUUUGACUGUAUCAUUCUGAGCGGUUCUAUAAGAUCUGUGUUUCAUAGUA